CACAAAAACAAAACAAACUGAAACCAACUGGCAGCUGCUGAUACAAGUGUGUAAUAAAUGACUUACAUGAAAUGUUGUGUCUGGCUGUCCUUAUCUGGUACAAGUUGAUAUCUGCUCGAGGGAAACCUUCUGCGUCAACCAAAGCUCCUUCAACUCCUACACCUUGCUGUAUUUAAAACAGUUAGCUAAGUGUUUAACUCCAUUCACUGUGCUUUUUGGCUGGACUUGAUAAUAUAAUUCAGCUGAUCAUGCUGACUUACGUCUUCCAGAACGUCGUAAUAAGCUUUUAUCUGUUCCUCAAUAUCGUCUUUUUUUUUUAUUAGGUUUUUCACAUCAUCCAUUGAUGUUUCUAAAUUUGACGAGUUUUCCUCUGUCAUCUUCCCCUUCUUUAGUCUUAAUGCCGGUUGGCAAACCAACUUAUAGGUGCAUUACCGCCACCUACUGCACUG
Long non-coding RNA from Thalassophryne amazonica, 449 nucleotides. RefSeq lists it as uncharacterized. The record is from RefSeq and is a predicted model, not a curated record. The transcript is spliced from 3 exons. Lineage: Eukaryota; Metazoa; Chordata; Actinopteri; Batrachoidiformes; Batrachoididae.